Manihot esculenta (cassava) is the source of this 4469-nucleotide RNA transcript. It is a transcript of the gene named probable serine/threonine-protein kinase SIS8, with no coding region annotated. NCBI's taxonomy places the organism in Eukaryota, Viridiplantae, Streptophyta, Magnoliopsida, Malpighiales, Euphorbiaceae. The record is from RefSeq and is a predicted model, not a curated record. The transcript is spliced from 13 exons.
UUCAAUAUUCCAUUCUUCGCACAAAUUUCCAACUCAUGCCUCCACCAUGGCUUCGGACUUUGGGACUCCAAUCUCACCAAGAGAGAGGACACUGGUAGUAUUUCUUUAGGACCCUUUUAGAGAGAGAGAGAUCCAGCCAGGGCCAGUUGAGUUGGGUUGAGUAGAGUUUUGUGGGUGUUAGUCACUGUUUUGCCACCGAAUUAACCUUUUAAUGGGGCCGUGAAAUCCUUGUGCCUCAAAAACUACAAGUGGGUCAUUGAGGUCCUACUCUCUCCCACUUGUUGGUCUUUGCUGUCUCUGCUGCUCUGCAUCUCUUAACUUUUUUCAAAACUAACCCCUCUUCUCUCUUUUCUAUGUGCUAUCUUCCUCCCUGAGUCCAAACAAAGAUCUAUCUUUUUCACUAUCUGGGUAUUGGUUUAUUCUUGUUCUAGAUUACAAGGAUCAUAGUUUUCUUGAUGGUACUAUUGGCUGUUCUGUGCAUGCAUGCCAGUGGGCUAUGCGUUUGAGUAUAAAUUCUGUUUCUUUGUGUUAUCUUCAAGAAUAAGGUUGUUGUCGUUCUUGUUGUUUUGUGAAAAGGAGGCUGUUAUCUUUCAAUUCAAGCAUCUGGGUGUUCUUGAUAUUGAGAAAGCUGUACUGGGUAUUUCUUGAAGUGAGUAUUGCGGCUCUUGGAUUUGAUGGGUUGAUUUUGGGGUCAGCUGUGGGUGUGAAUCAAAAGGGGCUUUUUGGAUUUGGUUCAACCUUUUAUUUUCUGAGUUGGUAUUUUUUACUGAUUAAGUUUUCAUGCUUGGUCCAAGACAAUGGAGAGGUUUAUGGCCAGAUUUUUAUUUCUUUAGCAUUGAACGAUUCAAGAACUUUGGGAAAUAAUAUGAAGAACUUUCUUAAGAAGCUCCACAUCAUGCCUAGUCAAUCACAUGAUUCAGAGGGUUCAAAUUCAUCAAGGGGCAAUAAGUCCAUUGAUGUAUCUUCCCCUGAUAGGCUUUUGCCCUCUAGGUCCAAUGAGCAUAAAACCUUCUCAGGUAUUUCCAAUUGGUUGAAUUCUGUUGCUAAUAAAAAAAGUCCUAGUCCACCAUCAUCUUCAAAUGUGACUAGAGGAGAGAGGACCGAACCAUCUGAUUCGAUUAGUAGUAGUGGUUUGGAUGUCGUUUCUGAUCCUGCCAGGCGUGAUUCAGGGUCUUCUACGUCAAGGGAUCCUGAAAUUGAGGAGGAAUAUCAAAUUCAGCUGGCUCUGGAGUUGAGUGCUAGAGAGGAUCCUGAGGCAGUUCAGAUUGAGGCUGUUAAGCAAAUAAGUUUGGGCUCUUGUGCUCCGGAAAAUACUCCAGCUGAAGUUGUUGCUUAUAGAUACUGGAAUUACAAUGUUCUUGGCUAUGAUGACAAGAUAUUGGAUGGUUUUUAUGACCUGUAUGGAAUUUUGACCGAGUCCACAUCAGAACGAAUGCCUUCUCUCGUUGAUUUGCAAGGAACACCAAUUAAAGAUGGUGUCAGCUGGGAAGCAGUGCUAGUGAAUAGGGCUGCUGACGCUAACUUGUUGAAACUUGAGCAGAAGGCACUAGAGAUGGCAGUCAAGUCAAAGUCUGAAUCUCUAGUUUUCAUGGAUAGAGAUUUUGUGCGGAAGCUUGCUAUUUUAGUUUCUGAUUACAUGGGUGGAUCAGUCGGCGAUCCUGACAACAUGACAAGAGCAUGGCGGAGUCUUAGCUACAGUUUGAAAGCAACACUUGGUAGCAUGGUUUUGCCCCUUGGUUCUCUUACAAUUGGAUUGGCCCGUCAUCGUGCAUUAAUGUUCAAGGUUUUGGCUGACAGCAUAGGUGUUCCAUGCCGACUGGUAAAAGGUCAUCAAUACACUGGUUCUGAUGAUGUUGCCAUGAAUUUUGUAAAGAUUGAUGAUGGAAGGGAAUACAUUGUUGAUUUAAUGGCAGACCCUGGAACACUUAUUCCUUCUGAUGUUGCUGGAUCACAUGUAGAAUAUGAGUCGUCUUUCUUUUCUGCUAGUCCUUUGUCUCGAGACAUUGACUCAUCUCAUAGAGCUUCUUCUAGUAGUGGGUUAGCUAGUUCUUUUGAAGAACAUUCGGAUGCUGGGACCUUGGAGAAGAGAUCCAGAAUCAGGAAUGUUGCAGCUGCAGGAAAACAAUCUGAUGAGAAGUGUGAAUUUCAUGAAUUUGCAAAUGUGCCCAGUAUAGUUAAAGGUGAAGAAGAAGCCAAGUCGUCCUUAGAUGAUUCUAAGAAACCUUCCAAUGCAGAGAAGGUGAUGGUGCGGGAGAGUCCUGGAAGGCCUAGUUAUACUCAUGCUCAUGCAAGAUCUCCUUCAUGGACUGAAGGUGUUAGCUCUCCAGCUGUACGUAGAAUGAAAGUCAAAGAUGUUUCACAAUACAUGAUUGACGCAGCCAAAGAGAAUCCACAGUUGGCCCAGAAACUUCAUGAUGUGUUACUGGAAAGUGGUGUUGUUGCUCCCCCUAGCUUGUUUACUGAAAUUUAUCAUGAGCAGUUAGAUGGAUCAACUACUGAGGCCAAAUCCCCUAUAGAAAAUAAGGAUGACUACAAACAGAAGAGUGAAGCAUGGCAUAUGAAAGAUCAAGAUGAUCUUGGUCCUGCUCGAUUUUUGCCCCCUCUGCCUCAUUACAGAUUGCAUUCUAAAGCAAGUCCUGCUUUUAACCAACCUGAGCAACUUAAACCUGUGGAAGGUUUAGGGGUCAAUUAUCCUUUUGAUAUGAGAGAGGUCACUGGACAAACCGUAUCUUCGCAGUCUGAAGUAACUCCUGUAAGUUAUGUGCAAAAAGUUCCUGUUGCUGCAGCAGCAGCAGCUGCUGCAGCUGUUGUUGCAUCUUCUAUGGUUGCUGCUGCAGCAAAGUCAAGCACUGACUCAAACCUUCCUGUAGCAGCUGCUGCCACUGCAACUGCUGCAGCUGUUGUGGCAACAACUGCGGCUGUCAGUAAGCAGUAUGAGCAGUGUGCACGAAGUGAUGGAGAUGCAAAUAAUUCUGGUUAUGAGCCAAAAGGUAGUGGGGACCGUGGUAGUGGGGGCCAAGAACGUGAUGCUUUAGGAGAAACUUCAGAAGGCGAAAAAACAUUGAAUAGAUCAGUUGGCAGUGAAAGUUCAAAGUCUGAUGCAGCACUAGAUGAUGUUGCAGAGUGUGAGAUUCCAUGGGAGGAAAUCACCUUGGGUGAACGCAUUGGACUUGGAUCAUACGGGGAGGUAUAUCACGGAGACUGGCAUGGAACUGAAGUGGCUGUGAAGAGGUUCCUGGACCAAGGUAUUUCUGUUGAAUCACUUGAAGAAUUCAGAAGUGAGGUUCGAAUCAUGAAAAGGCUCAGACAUCCCAAUGUGGUUCUUUUCAUGGGAGCAGUAACUCGUGCCCCAAAUCUUUCAAUUGUUACAGAGUUUCUUCCUAGAGGUAGUUUGUAUAGACUAAUCCACAGGCCUAACAAUCAAUUAGAUGAGCGGAGACGUUUGAGGAUGGCCCUUGAUGCUGCUCGAGGAAUGAAUUAUUUGCACAACUGCACUCCAAUGAUAGUACACCGUGAUUUAAAGUCCCCAAAUCUUCUGGUUGAUAAAAACUGGGUAGUGAAGGUUUGUGAUUUUGGGCUAUCGCGAAUGAAGCACAGCACAUUUCUCUCUUCAAGGUCAACUGCAGGGACGGCUGAGUGGAUGGCCCCAGAAGUGCUAAGAAAUGAACCUUCAGAUGAAAAUGAGGAUCAAUAUGCAGGUGUGACGUUUAUAGUUUUGGGGUUAUACUAUGGGAACUCUGUACAUUGCAGCAACCAUGGGGGGGAAUGAACCCAAUGCAAGUUGUUGGUGCUGUUGGAUUUCAACAACGACGUCUUGACAUUCCAGAUAGUAUGGAUCCAGUCAUUGCAGAUAUUAUUAGGAAAUGCUGGCAGACGGACCCGAGAUUGAGGCCAACAUUUGCAGAGAUAAUGGCUGCUUUGAAGCCAUUACAGAAGCCUAUAACUGGUGCACAAGCGCUGAGACCAAGUUCAUCUACGAGAGGUGGACAUGAGAAAGGUCAGCAGUCGCGAGAAGCAGAAUAGCAGGCAGGCUAAUUGAACAAGUUAUGAUGAAGUCGAACUUCAGCUAGUCGGACUGCCAAAAACAUGGAGGCAAAUUAUGGACUGUCUGUGACAAGAAUGCGCAUCGAACUGUGAAAAUAUAGAGGAAUAUAUGGACUGUUUGGGACAAGAAUUUGAAAGAGAUUGAUCGAAGAUCAUGAACCAACAUACGCUCCAAUUUGAGAUGAUUGUGAUUCUUUUUUCAAUGUUUCCCUUUUUCUUCUCUUGUAUUCUUGUGCAGCAAUCCUCAAAGUGUAUUUGUUUGUAGAAAGAAAAUCCAUUUGAAAUUGUUGUAAUCAAUGUUGUGUUUUUUCUUGUGCUUACAGUUUGAUACCAAGCAAAUACAAACUGAAGAAAGCAGUUGGAAAAACUUUUCUUCUAUGAAGAGUGAUGCAGUAGAUUUACUUGCAAGCUUGGCUAGAUCAAAA